UUUUAGCCCCGAUUGUAGUGAAAAUCCUUGCCUUUUUUAGGCAAGAUUGUAACGAAAAGCGGGAAUUGCC
Molecule: small RNA, 70 nt
Filed under: Flavobacterium aquatile LMG 4008 = ATCC 11947
Lineage: Bacteria; Pseudomonadati; Bacteroidota; Flavobacteriia; Flavobacteriales; Flavobacteriaceae
Description: Flavobacterium aquatile LMG 4008 Flavo-1 RNA
Rfam family: Flavo-1 RNA
Source: Rfam by way of RNAcentral